This 468-nucleotide ribosomal RNA is filed under the name uncultured bacterium. Its description in RNAcentral is "partial 16S ribosomal RNA". It matches the Rfam family "Bacterial small subunit ribosomal RNA", at positions 28 to 507 of the family's 1533-position model. The record is from RNAcentral.
GACGAACGCUGGCGGCGUGCUUAACACAUGCAAGUCGAACGGAAAGGCCCUGCUUUUGUGGGGUGCUCGAGUGGCGAACGGGUGAGUAACACGUGAGUAACCUGCCCUUGACUUUGGGAUAACUUUAGGAAACUGGGGCUAAUACCGGAUAGGAGCUCCUGCUGCACGGUGGGGGUUGGAAAGUUUCGGCGGUUGGGGAUGGACUCGCGGCUUAUCAGCUUGUUGGUGGGGUAGUGGCUUACCAAGGCUUUGACGGGUAGCCGGCCUGGGAGGGUGACCGGCCACAUUGGGACUGAGAUACGGCCCAGUCUCCUACGGGAGGCAGCAGUGGGGAAUAUUGCACAAUGGGCGGAAGCCUGAUGCAGCAACGCCGCGUGCGGGAUGACGGCCUUCGGGUUGUAAACCGCUUUCGCCUGUGACGAAGCGUGAGUGACGGUAAUGGGUAAAGAAGCACCGGCUAACUACGUG